AUACGGAGGGGGCUAGCGUUGUUCGGAAUUACUGGGCGUAAAGCGCGCGUAGGCGGAUUGGUUAGUUGGGGGUGAAAUCCCAGGGCUCAACCCUGGAACUGCCCUCAAUACUGCCAGUCUAGAGAUCGAGAGAGGUGAGUGGAAUUCCUAGUGUAGAGGUGAAAUUCGUAGAUAUUAGGAAGAACACCAGUGGCGAAGGCGGCUCACUGGCUCGAUACUGACGCUGAGGCGCGAAAGCGUGGGGAGCAAACAGGAUUAGAAACCCCAGUAGUCC
This 274-nucleotide ribosomal RNA is filed under the name uncultured bacterium. RNAcentral's name for it is "partial 16S ribosomal RNA". It matches the Rfam family "Bacterial small subunit ribosomal RNA", at positions 523 to 796 of the family's 1533-position model. The record is from RNAcentral.